CUCCGCGAGCAAGACGAGCUGCGAUUGGGCGAGCGCAGCGCAAGUCAACUGCGCUUCGCGCCGCAGACGGCAACCAAUCAGAAACCUCCGAAGAAACGGCGCGCCGUAUGCAAAUAUUCCUCCGCGCGGCGCGCGCCCUGCGUUCCUCCGCCUCUUUAAACGGGGCGGGGCGAGGUGGAGACCGCGUGUGUGGUUCCGGGCGGGCCCGGGUCCGCGCUCCCGGGACCUUCCCCGGGUGGCACCACAUCCUCGCGGGACACUGGGCACCACCCCUCUCCGUGGGCCCCGGCCGUCUUUAUCUCCUGCGCCCUCCCAGUUCCCUAGUUCAAUCCCGUCCGCGGCGGGUCGGUGCUUCCAGCACUCCGUGCGCCCGCUGAUGUGAGAAACCCACCUCCCGUGUCGUCCCCUCGCGCUAUUCCUUGAGAACGUCGCGGGGGGCCCCUCCGCCUGGGAGCCGUUUUCAACCAGCCUCGUUAGUGGUUGGGACCUAAGUCUAACAACCCUUGCUCAUCCCCCAGGUCCCGGGUUGGAGAACACUUCCUCUGCGAAGAGGUCGGGGCUGGGUCACCUCCGCGGACACGACGGGACUAGCCACUUCCUGCGUCUUCCCCCACGCCCUGAGCCCCGUAGUGUCCCAGCAGCCUAGUUCUGGCCUGCGGGAGACCCUGUCGGACAAGGAGGAAAAGCAGUGCGCACUGGGCCCUCAGAUCAGGCCCCUGAAGCAGAGCAGGGCAGAGGGCUGGGGAGGAGCUGGCCCGUUUCGCCCGCCCUGUUCUCCCUCUCAUGGUGCCCUCUGGGCUGGGGUGAAGGUACCAGCCCCAGCCUCUCCACAUCACAUUUUGUAGAAAGGCAUCCGAUUUGAUUGGAAAAUAACCCCUACGCUGGGACUUUUAAGGCUGGUUUAUUUCCAUGUUCAACCAUGCCAUUGGGGGUCUUCAAGCCUAAUGUGCAUUUUUUUCGGAAACGUUCUCUUUUUUGGGGUGAGGUUACUUUUGAAACCAUUGCUAAUUAUUAUUGUUAUUAGCAAGUUAUUCCUGUAAUGGGGAAAAUUUGAAACCAUCUAAAGGUUCCUGGUUGAGGGAUUAAGAACAUAGCGUCGGUUAUAAACCUCAGAGGACUUGCACCUUUGGAGCUAUAGGGUGCUGCAACAGAAAUCAGCCACUCUGAAGCCGCCAAGCUGGAGAGACCACACAGAGAUAAAAGGUGCCCAAGCAGCCCUAGUAUGGGACCCAGGCACAAACUUAGAGAUGACUCCAUCUGCCUGCAACUGAAAACCAAUCAGCUGAGCCCAGUCAAUCCAGAGCCAUGAGUUAUUAACAUGAUCGUUGUUGUUUUCAGCCCUGAAGUUUUGGGGUGAUUUGUUAAGUGGCAACAGAUAACUGGAACAUGUUUGUUUUACUUUGUUUGAGGGACUUUUCUUUCUUGCUGGUUGAAAUUUUUUUAUAUAUAAAACACUGACAAGGUUCAAAGUCAGACCUAUCAAUA
Long non-coding RNA from Symphalangus syndactylus (siamang), 1485 nucleotides. RefSeq lists it as uncharacterized. Lineage: Eukaryota; Metazoa; Chordata; Mammalia; Primates; Hylobatidae. The record is from RefSeq and is a predicted model, not a curated record.